AGAUCCAACGUGGUUGUUAAAAAAGAGCUCCAUACCCCUGAAUCCGAUCGCUCCUGCACUUAUCUUGAAUUUGACAUCUCUCACACUGGACUAUCAUACGAAACUGGGGAUCACGUCGGUGUCUACUGUGAAAAACU
Long non-coding RNA from Helianthus annuus (common sunflower), 137 nucleotides. RefSeq lists it as uncharacterized. The record is from RefSeq and is a predicted model, not a curated record. NCBI's taxonomy places the organism in Eukaryota, Viridiplantae, Streptophyta, Magnoliopsida, Asterales, Asteraceae. The transcript is spliced from 2 exons.